AGAGUUUGAUCCUGGCUCAGGAUGAACGCUGGCGGCAUGGCUAAGGCAUGCAAGUCGAAAGUUCGGGUAUUUAUAUCCGAACUUGGCAAACGGGAGAGUAACACAUUGGUAACCUGCCCCCGAUUCGAGAAUAACUUUGAGAAAUCGAAGAUAAUACUCGAUGGUCUUUUCUUAAUAUAUAUUAAGAAAAGUAAAGGUCCGCCGAUCGGGGAGGGGCCUAUGGCUUAUCAGCUUGUUGGUGAGGUAAUGGCUCACCAAGGCGACGACGAGUAGCGGGUGUGAGAGCAUGGCCCGUCUCACUGGGACUGAGACACUGCCCAGACUCCUACGGGAGGCUGCAGUCACGAAUCUUCCACAAUGCCCGAAAGGGUGAUGGAGCAAUGCCGCGUGUAUGAAGAAGCCCUUCGGGGUGUAAAAUACUUUUAUUAGGGACGAAUCAAUGACGGUACCUAAUGAAUAAGGGGCUGCUAACCUCGUGCCAGCAGCAGCGGUAAUACGAGGGCCCCGAGCGUUAUCCGGAUUCAUUGGGCGUAAAGGGUCCGUAGGCGGUUUUGUACAUCUUCUGUUAAUUCUAUCGGCUCAACCGAUAGGACCGCGGAAGAGAUGGCAAGAACUAGAGGCCGGAAGAGGCAGACGGAAUUGUCGGUGUAGGGGUUAAAUCCGUUAAUAUCGACAGGAACACCCAAAUGCGAAGGCAGCUUGCUAGAACGAGCCUGACGCUAAGGGACGAAAGCGUGGGGAGAGAAUGGGAUUAGAUACCCCAGUAUUCCACGCCGUAAACGAUGGAUGCUAAACAUUGGAAGUAUCGACCCUUCCAGUGUUGUUCACUUAAGACUAACGCCUUAAGCAUCCCGCCUGGGGAGUACGAGACGCAAGCUUAAAACUCAAAGGAAUAGACGGGGACCCGCACAAGCGGUGGAGCAUGUGGUUUAAUUCGAUGAUACGACGAGGAACCUCACCAAGGUUUGACAUCUAGCUGCAGACCCCCGGAAACGGGGGAGCCUUCGAGGGGUGCUAGACAGGCGCUGCAUGGUUGCCGUCAGCUCGUGUCGUGAGAUGUACCGUUUAAGUCGGGGAAACGAGCGCAACCCCUAUCUUGUGGUUUCAUGUGUCACAAGAGACUGCCUGCUUUAAGUGGGAGGAAGGUGGGGAUGACGUCAAAUCAGCAUGGUCCUUACACCUUGGGCGACACACGUGCUACAAUGGGAAGUACAAAGGGACGCCAAGCGGUAACGCGGAGCAAAUCCCCCAAAACUUCCCCCAGUUCGGAUUGAGGUCUGCAACUCGACCUCAUGAAGUCGGAAUCGCUAGUAAACGCGCAUCAGCCACGGCGCGUUGAAUACGUUCUCGGGUCUUGUACUCACCGCCCGUCACACCAGGAGAGUCGGUAAUACCCGAAGGCUGCGCCUAGCGCGGACGAAGGUAGGACCGAUAAUAAGGGUGAAGUCGUAACAAGGUAACC
This 1462-nucleotide ribosomal RNA is filed under the name uncultured bacterium. Its description in RNAcentral is "16S ribosomal RNA". It matches the Rfam family "Bacterial small subunit ribosomal RNA". The record is from RNAcentral.